RNAcentral lists this ribosomal RNA (510 nucleotides) under uncultured bacterium. Its description in RNAcentral is "bacterial SSU rRNA". It matches the Rfam family "Bacterial small subunit ribosomal RNA", at positions 29 to 508 of the family's 1533-position model. The record is from RNAcentral.
AACGAACGCUGGCGGCGUGCCUAACACAUGCAAGUCGUGCGAGAAAGUUCCUUCGGGAGCGAGUAAAGCGGCGCACGGGUGAGUAACACGUAGGUAACCUGCCCCCCAGUCUGGAACAACUAGAGGAAACUCUAGCUAAUGCCGGAUGAGACCACGAUCCCUUCGGGGUUGCGGCCAAAGAUGGCCUCUACUUGUAAGCUAUCGCUGAGGGAUGGGCCUGCGGGCCAUUAGCUUGUUGGUGAGGUAACGGCUCACCAAGGCUGUGAUGGCUAGCUGGUCUGAGAGGAUGACCAGCCACACUGGGACUGAGACACGGCCCAGACUCCUACGGGAGGCAGCAGUGGGGAAUAUUGCGCAAUGGGCGAAAGCCUGAUCCAGCCAUGCCGCGUGUGUGAAGAAGGCCUUCGGGUUGUAAAGGCACUUUAAGUACGGGGGAGGAAGGGGCGUUACGGGUUAAUACCUGUGAGCAUUGACGUUACCCGCACGAAUAAGCACCGGCUAACUCUGUCG